AACAUUUUUGCAGAUGGAAGGAACCCACUUUAAAAACAAUAGGUCUUUGAGAUGUCAGCUAAGGCUCGCUUGAUAUGUGCUGCGUGCCACAGCAACGCAGUAUAGCCUUUUUCACUCUUAAACUGUAUCCCUUGGAUCUGAAGCAGAACCAUGAUCAAGAGACCUGGGUCCAGUUUCCUGCUCUGCCACUGAUUUCCAGCCUCUUGUGGAAGUCACUCGGCCUCCCUUCAACUCAGCUUCCCGCAGCAGGGGGAGGAUCAAAGCUCUUUCUGGACUGAGGAUGAAUCCAAGCUCAUGCGAUGUUUGCGUGCUCCAGUAAUGUAUUUAUUAUACCAACAUUUCGUGCCAUUUCUCCUCAAAGCCCCUCCUUGUCUCCUCUAGCACAAGAAGGGACAAAGCCACCCAGAUCACGAGGCAGACAGACAUGCCAGGAGCUUGGCCAGGUCUUGUUGUUCUCAGCUGAAGACUCUCCAAAGACUUUAAAGACCCUGGCGCGUACCUCGGAGACACGAAGAUCUCAACCCAGCCCGUACCUCUGCUACGAGCUGUGCAGCGAGCCAAUUUGUGAAAGCCUCCAGCGGGAUAAUCCGUUAGCAGGCUUUAUUAGCGCUCCUCACCAGGCUCCCAUGAACAGAAGAUGUUUUCCCCCCAAACAUGAUGCAUUUUAAAUGGCUCCCCUGCUGACUGUGCAGGGCAGUUCUUGUGCUCUAUGGCCCAGGGACGGCCUGCUAUCAGCCUCGCUCCAAGCCAGCGUUGUUUCAAAGCUGUUUGUUUUCAAACUUCCUCCUGAAAUCAAUCAUCUUCACAGUUGCAGGUCUGAAAUUCUGCAAGGGGA
Oxyura jamaicensis (ruddy duck) is the source of this 835-nucleotide long non-coding RNA. RefSeq lists it as uncharacterized. The transcript is spliced from 3 exons. Lineage: Eukaryota; Metazoa; Chordata; Aves; Anseriformes; Anatidae. The record is from RefSeq and is a predicted model, not a curated record.